Molecule: long non-coding RNA, 762 nt
Organism: Ornithorhynchus anatinus (platypus)
Lineage: Eukaryota; Metazoa; Chordata; Mammalia; Monotremata; Ornithorhynchidae
Exons: 2
Source: RefSeq, a predicted model, not a curated record
UGGAGCUGGUGAUGGGUCAGUCACUCUGACCACAGGGUCACCGGGGAAUGUGAUACCCACAUAGUCACUGUGAGAUCAUGCAUUGGUUGUCAUGGCAACCAGCCUUGGUGAACUGGGGAGCUCAGAGAGAAGGAAGGGUAUGGAUACAGCAGGAUGCAGAAAGCAAAUUUCCCAGUGAAAAUUCCCCCAGCACAAGAUGCAGAACAGUGUGUGAAGUGUCCCGAAAAUAAGUAUCCAAACAUUGCGAGAGAUGGCUGUCUCCAACAAAGUGGUGAAUUUUCCAUCCCUCAAAGAACCUCUGGGGCUGAUCCUGGUCUGAACGUCUCUCUCCUUCUAUCUCCUCACAGCCCAGGUUUUAGGGGUCUUCAUUAAGCACCGAGACACCCCCCUAGUCCAAGCAAAAAACUGCACUCUCAGCUGCACCCUCCUGAUCUCCCUCAAGCUCUGUUUCCUCUGUGCCCUGACCAUUAUUGGCCAACCCACCCCAGCCUCCUGCCUCCUCCAACAAAUGGCUUUUGGUGUCGUGUUCACUGUGACCGUCUCCUCCAUCUUGGCCAAAAUUUUCACCAUGGUUCUGGCCUUCAGGGCCACAGGCUUGGGGAGCAACAUUAGAGGGUGAGUGGGGACCAGAGCCUCGACUUCAGUAGUCCUGUCCUGCUCCCUGGUCCAGGUAACCAUCUGUGUGAUCAGACUGGGCACCUCUCCCCCAUUCCCAGAGAUCAAUACAUGCUCUGGGCCUGGACUCAUUAUAAUCGAGUGUAA